RNAcentral lists this ribosomal RNA (772 nucleotides) under uncultured bacterium. RNAcentral's name for it is "bacterial SSU rRNA". It matches the Rfam family "Bacterial small subunit ribosomal RNA", at positions 8 to 796 of the family's 1533-position model. The record is from RNAcentral.
AGAGUUUGAUCAUGGCUCAGGACGAACGCUGGCGGCGCGCCUAAUACAUGCAAGUCGAGCGAGAACCGGGGCUUCGGCCCCGGGGAGAGCGGCGAACGGGUGCGUAUCACGUGAGCAACCUGCCUCGGAGACCGGAAUAACUCGAGGAAACUCGGGCUAAUGCCGGAUGCCCUCGGUGGACCGCAUGGUCCGGCGAGGAAAUGGAUUCCGCUCCGAGAUGGGCUCGCGGCCUAUCAGCUUGUUGGUGGGGUAACGGCCUACCAAGGCGACGACGGGUAGCUGGUCUGAGAGGACGAUCAGCCACACUGGGACUGAGACACGGCCCAGACUCCUACGGGAGGCAGCAAUAGGGAAUCUUGCGCAAUGGGGGAAACCCUGACGCAGCGACGCCGCGUGCGGGAUGAAGGCCUUCGGGUCGUAAACCGCUUUCAGCAGGGACGAAAUUGACGGUACCUGCAGAAGAAGGCCCGGCCAACUACGUGCCAGCAGCCGCGGUGAUACGUAGGGGUCUAGCGUUGUCCGGAAUUAUUGGGCGUAAAGAGCUCGUAGGCGGUUCGGCAAGUCGGAUGUGAAAUCUCCACGCUUAACGUGGAGGGGCCAUUCGAAACUGCCGUGACUCGAGUCCGGUAGGGGAGUUCGGAAUUCCCGGUGUAGCGGUGAAAUGCGCAGAUAUCGGGAGGAACACCAGUGGCGAAGGCGGAACUCUGGGCCGGAACUGACGCUGAGGAGCGAAAGCGUGGGGAGCGAACAGGAUUAGAUACCCUAGUAGUCC